GAAUCUGCCUUCUGGUCGGGGACAACCACUGGAAACGGUGGCUAAUACCGGAUGAGCCGAAGGGUAAAAGAUUAAUUGCCAGAAGAGGAGCUCGCGUCUGAUUAGCUAGUUGGUGGGGUAAAAGCCUACCAAGGCAUCGAUCAGUAGCUGGUCUGAGAGGACGAUCAGCCACACUGGGACUGAGACACGGCCCAGACUCCUACGGGAGGCAGCAGUGGGGAAUUUUCCGCAAUGGGCGAAAGCCUGACGGAGCAAGACCGCGUGAGGGAAGAAGGCUCUUGGGUCGUAAACCUCUUUUGUCAGGGAAGAACACAAUGACGGUACCUGACGAAUCAGCCUCGGCUAACUCCGUGCCAGCAGCCGCGGUAAUACGGAGGAGGCAAGCGUUAUCCGGAAUUAUUGGGCGUAAAGCGUCCGCAGGUGGCGAUUCAAGUCUGCGGUCAAAGACUGGGGCUUAACCCUGGAAAGGCCGUGGAAACUGAAAAGCUAGAGUGCAGUAGGGGUAGAGGGAAUUCCCGGUGUAGCGGUGAAAUGCGUAGAGCUCGGGAAGAACAUCGGUGGCGAAAGCGCUCUGCUGGACUGCAACUGACACUCAGGGACGAAAGCUAGGGGAGCG
RNAcentral lists this ribosomal RNA (616 nucleotides) under uncultured cyanobacterium. RNAcentral's name for it is "bacterial SSU rRNA". It matches the Rfam family "Bacterial small subunit ribosomal RNA", at positions 122 to 770 of the family's 1533-position model. Lineage: Bacteria; Bacillati; Cyanobacteriota. The record is from RNAcentral.